This 416-nucleotide ribosomal RNA is filed under the name uncultured soil bacterium. RNAcentral describes it as "bacterial SSU rRNA". It matches the Rfam family "Bacterial small subunit ribosomal RNA", at positions 26 to 453 of the family's 1533-position model. The record is from RNAcentral.
AGAUUGAACGCUGGCGGCAUGCCUUACACAUGCAAGUCGAACGGUAGAGUAGCAAUACUUGAGAGUGGCGAACGGGUGAGUAAUAUAUCGGAACGUGCCCAGUCGUGGGGGAUAACGUAGAGAAAUUUACGCCAAUACCGCAUACGAUCUAAGGAUGAAAGCGGGGGACCGUAAGGCCUCGCGCGAUUGGAGCGGCUGAUAUCAGAUUAGGUUGUUGGUGAGGUAAAAAGCUCACCAAGCCGACGAUCUGUAGCUGGUUUGAGAGAACGACCAGCCACACUGGGACUGAGACACGGCCCAGACUCCUACGGGAGCAGCAGUGGGAAUUUGGACAAUGGGACGAAAGCCUAGAUCCAGCAAUGCCGCGUGCAGGAAGAAGGCUUCGGGUUGUAAACUGCUUUGACGGAACGAACGGU